GGGAGGCAGCAGUGAGGAAUUUUGGACAAUGGGGGAAACCCUGAUCCAGCCAUUCCGCGUGAGUGAAGAAGGCCUUCGGGUUGUAAAGCUCUUUCGGCAGGGAAGAAACGGUGUCCCCUAAUACGGGGCGCUAAUGACGGUACCUGAAGAAGAAGCACCGGCUAACUACGUGCCAGCAGCCGCGGUAAUACGUAGGGUGCGAGCGUUAAUCGGAAUUACUGGGCGUAAAGCGUGCGCAGGCGGUUUUGUAAGACAGAUGUGAAAUCCCCGGGCUCAACCUGGGAACUGCGUUUGUGACUGCAAGACUUGAGUAUGGCAGAGGGGGGUAGAAUUCCACGUGUAGCAGUGAAAUGCGUAGAGAUGUGGAGGAAUACCGAUGGCGAAGGCAGCCCCCUGGGUCAAUACUGACGCUCAUGCACGAAAGCGUGGGGAGCAAACAGGAUUAGAUACCCAGUAGUCG
RNAcentral lists this ribosomal RNA (460 nucleotides) under uncultured bacterium. RNAcentral describes it as "bacterial SSU rRNA". It matches the Rfam family "Bacterial small subunit ribosomal RNA", at positions 343 to 796 of the family's 1533-position model. The record is from RNAcentral.